This 399-nucleotide ribosomal RNA is filed under the name uncultured bacterium. Its description in RNAcentral is "bacterial SSU rRNA". It matches the Rfam family "Bacterial small subunit ribosomal RNA", at positions 357 to 773 of the family's 1533-position model. The record is from RNAcentral.
GGGGAUAUUGGACAAUGGGGGAAACCCUGAUCCAGCGAUGCCGCGUGAGGGAAGAAGGUUUUCGGAUUGUAAACCUCUGUGGACAGGGACGAUAAUGACGGUACCUGUCAAGAAAGCCACGGCUAACUACGUGCCAGCAGCCGCGGUAAUACGUAGGUGGCGAGCGUUGUCCGGAAUUACUGGGUGUAAAGGGAGUGUAGGCGGGAAGGCAAGUCAGAAGUGAAAAUUAUGGGCUCAACCCAUAACCUGCUUUUGAAACUGUUUUUCUUGAGUGAAGCAGAGGCAAGCGGAAUUCCUAGUGUAGCGGUGAAAUGCGUAGAUAUUAGGAGGAACACCAGUGGCGAAGGCGGCUUGCUGGGCUUUUACUGACGCUGAGGCUCGAAAGCGUGGGGAGCAAAC